GAUGAAGAACGCAGCGAAAUGCGAUAAGUAUUGUGAAUUGCAGAAUUCAGUGAAUCAUCGAAUCUUUGAACGCACAUUGCGCCCGCCAGUAUUCUGGCGGGCAUGCCUGUUCGAGCGUCAUUACAACCCUCAGGCCCCCGGGCCUGGCGUUGGGGAUCGGCGGAGCCCCCCGUGGGCACACGCCGUCCCCCAAAUGCAGUGGCGGUCCCGCCGCAGCUUCCAUCGCGUAGUAGCUAACACCUCGCGACUGGAGAGCGGCGCGGCCACGCCGUAAAACACCCAACUCUUCUGAAGUUGACCUCGAAUCAGGUAGGAAUACCCGCUGAACUUAAGCAUAUCAAUAAGCGGAGGA
RNAcentral lists this unclassified non-coding RNA (352 nucleotides) under soil metagenome. RNAcentral's name for it is "partial contains 5.8S ribosomal RNA, internal transcribed spacer 2, and large subunit ribosomal RNA". The stretch from base 1 to 120 matches the Rfam family "5.8S ribosomal RNA", at positions 35 to 154 of the family's 154-position model. The record is from RNAcentral.